CGAGGUAGUAGUUUGUGCUGUU
This 22-nucleotide non-coding RNA is filed under the name Bos taurus (domestic cattle). The record is from RNAcentral. RNAcentral also lists the same sequence under 1 other name. Lineage: Eukaryota; Metazoa; Chordata; Mammalia; Artiodactyla; Bovidae.